RNAcentral lists this ribosomal RNA (459 nucleotides) under uncultured bacterium. RNAcentral describes it as "partial 16S ribosomal RNA". It matches the Rfam family "Bacterial small subunit ribosomal RNA", at positions 338 to 795 of the family's 1533-position model. The record is from RNAcentral.
CCUACGGGAGGCAGCAGUGAGGAAUAUUGGUCAAUGGACGAGAGUCUGAACCAGCCAAGUAGCGUGAAGGAUGACUGCCCUAUGGGUUGUAACUUCUUUUAUAUGGGAAUAAAACGUUCCACGUGUGGGAUUUUGUAUGUACCAUAUGAAUAAGGAACGGCCAACUUCGUGCCAGCAGCCGCGGUAAUACGGAGGAUCCGAGCGUUAUCCGGAUUUAUUGGGUUUAAAGUGAGCGUAGGUGGAUUGUUAAGGGAGUUGUGAAAGUUUGCGGCUCAACCGUAAAAUUGCAGUUGAAACUGGCAGUCGUGAGUACAGUAGAGGUAGGCGGAAUGCGUGGUGUAGCGGUGAAAUGCUUAGAUAUCACGAAGAACUCCGAUUGCGAAGGCAGUUCACUGGACUGCAACUGACACUGAGGCUCGAAAGUGUGGGUAUCAAACAGGAUUAGAUACCCUUGUAGUC